GUAAUGUCUGGGAAACUGCCUGAUGGAGGGGGAGUAACUACUGGAAACGGUAGCUAAUACCGCAUAACGUCGCAAGACCAAAGAGGGGGACCUUCGGGCCUCUUGCCAUCAGAUGUGCCCAGAUGGGAUUAGCUAGUAGGUGGGGUAACGGCUCACCUAGGCGACAAUCCCUAGCUGGUCUGAGAGGAUGACCAGCCACACUGGAACUGAGACACGGUCCAGACUCCUACGGGAGGCAGCAUG
Molecule: ribosomal RNA, 243 nt
Filed under: uncultured bacterium
Lineage: Bacteria
Description: partial 16S ribosomal RNA
Rfam family: Bacterial small subunit ribosomal RNA
Source: RNAcentral